GAUACCCCUGUAGUCCUGGCCGUAAACGAUGAACACUAGGUGUCGGGGGAAUCGACCCCCUCGGUGUCGUAGCCAACGCGUUAAGUGUUCCGCCUGGGGAGUACGCACGCAAGUGUGAAACUCAAAGGAAUUGACGGGGGCCCGCACAAGCGGUGGAGUAUGUGGUUUAAUUCGAUGCAACGCGAAGAACCUUACCAGGGUUUGGCAUCCUGCGAACCCCUUGGAAACGAGGGGGUGCCUUCGGGAGCGCAGAGACAGGUGGUGCAUGGCUGUCGUCAGCUCGUGUCGUGAGAUGUUGGGUUAAGUCCCGCAACGAGCGCAACCCACGUCUUUAGUUGCCAGCAUUCAGUUGGGCACUCUAGAGAGACCGCCGGUGAUAAACCGGAGGAAGGUGUGGAUGACGUCAAGUCAUCAUGCCCCUUACAUCCUGGGCUACACACGUACUACAAUGCUACGGACAGAGGGCAGCAAACUCGCGAGAGCUAGCAAAUCCCAUAAACCGUGGCUCAGUUCAGAUCGUAGGCUGCAACUCGCCUACGUGAAGGAGGAAUCGCUAGUAAUCGCAGGUCAGCAUACUGCGGUGAAUACGUUCCCGGGCCUUGUACACACCGCCCGUCACACCAUGGAAGUUGGCCACGCCCGAAGCCGUUACUCCAACCCUUGUGGAGGAGGACGUCGAAGGUGGGGCUGAUGACUGGGGUGAAGUCGUAACAAGGUAGCCGUACCGGAAGGUGC
RNAcentral lists this ribosomal RNA (735 nucleotides) under uncultured Synechococcus sp. Its description in RNAcentral is "bacterial SSU rRNA". It matches the Rfam family "Bacterial small subunit ribosomal RNA", at positions 781 to 1515 of the family's 1533-position model. Lineage: Bacteria; Bacillati; Cyanobacteriota; Cyanophyceae; Synechococcales; Synechococcaceae. The record is from RNAcentral.